CCUACGGGAGGCAGCAGUGGGGAAUAUUGGUCAAUGGAGGAAACUCUGAACCAGCAACGCCGCGUGAAUGAUGAAGGUCCUCGGAUUCUUAAGCUUCUUUUUUCGGGAAGCAGAUAGUGACGGUCCUUUACGAAUAAGUCUCGGCUAACUACGUGCCAGCAGCCGCGGCAAUCCGUCGGCGGCAAGCGUUAUCCGGAUUGAAUGGUUGUAAAGGGUGCUUAGGUGGUUUGGCAAGGUAGUCGCUUAAUCCCGGGGGUCAACCUCGGGACGACUGCUAAAACUGCCAGACGUGAGUGCUGGAGAAGCAAGUGGAAUGCCUGGUGUAGCGGUGGAAUGCAUAGAUAUUAGGAAGAACACCGAUGGCGAAGGCGAAUUGCUGGACUGAAACUGACGCUGAGGCACGAAAGCGUGGGUAGCGAACAGGAUUAGAUACCCGAGUAGUC
This 443-nucleotide ribosomal RNA is filed under the name uncultured bacterium. Its description in RNAcentral is "partial 16S ribosomal RNA". It matches the Rfam family "Bacterial small subunit ribosomal RNA", at positions 338 to 795 of the family's 1533-position model. The record is from RNAcentral.